GGUUUGACCCCUAACCACCACCCUCCCACCCCAGGCCCUCCAUGCUCUUCUGCUUCCUCGGAGGAAGCAGGAUGUGUCUGUUGUUCUGGCCACUUGGCCCCUCCAGGAAUUCACCCACAGACACCACCUUCCCAUCAGCCUCUGGAGUCCUAAUCUGCUGAGCCAAACUUUCAGCCACCUGCAAUCAAGACCUCAUCCAGACCUGCGGGGAUCUGCCAGUAUUUCCAUUUCAGCCUGUCCUGGAUGACAUCUAUAUUGCGAAGAAAGCACAUGAAAUUGGGUCAUAAAGAAGAAUGUCUGGCCAGAUCUCGGUUUGUGUCUCUGCUCCACGCUGUGCAAGCUGUGUGUCCUUGGGCCAAUGUCUUCACCUCUCUGGACCUUAGUUCCUUCAACCAUGGCAGUAGAGAUGGCAAAACCUAUUCUCAGGCUUAUUAUGAGGACUAAGUGAGUUAAUAGCUGUAAAAUGCUUAAGACAGUAAGCCUCUCAAAAGUACUCAAUAAACGGUAGCCUUUAUCAUUCA
Long non-coding RNA from Pteropus alecto (black flying fox), 521 nucleotides. RefSeq lists it as uncharacterized. The transcript has 2 exons. NCBI's taxonomy places the organism in Eukaryota, Metazoa, Chordata, Mammalia, Chiroptera, Pteropodidae. The record is from RefSeq and is a predicted model, not a curated record.